AACGGGGGAUUGCCUUAGUACGGCGAGUGAAGCGGCAAAAGCUCAAAUUUGAAAUCUGGUACCUUCGGUGCCCGAGUUGUAAUUUGGAGAGGGCAACUUUGGGGCCGUUCCUUGUCUAUGUUCCUUGGAACAGGACGUCAUAGAGGGUGAGAAUCCCGUGUGGCGAGGAGUGCGGUUCUUUGUAAAGUGCCUUCGAAGAGUCGAGUUGUUUGGGAAUGCAGCUCUAAGUGGGUGGUAAAUUCCAUCUAAAGCUAAAUAUUGGCGAGAGACCGAUAGCGAACAAGUACAGUGAUGGAAAGAUGAAAAGAACUUUGAAAAGAGAGUGAAAAAGUACGUGAAAUUGUUGAAAGGGAAGGGCAUUUGAUCAGACAUGGUGUUUUGUGCCCUCUGCUCCUUGUGGGUAGGGGAAUCUCGCAUUUCACUGGGCCAGCAUCAGUUUUGGUGGCAGGAUAAAUCCAUAGGAAUGUAGCUUGCCUCGGUAAGUAUUAUAGCCUGUGGGAAUACUGCCAGCUGGGACUGAGGACUGCGACGUAAGUCAAGGAUGCUGGCAUAAUGGUUAUAUGCCGCCCGUCUUGAAACACGGACCAA
This 588-nucleotide ribosomal RNA is filed under the name Saccharomyces cerevisiae (brewer's yeast). RNAcentral describes it as "partial large subunit ribosomal RNA". It matches the Rfam family "Eukaryotic large subunit ribosomal RNA", at positions 67 to 669 of the family's 3401-position model. Lineage: Eukaryota; Fungi; Ascomycota; Saccharomycetes; Saccharomycetales; Saccharomycetaceae. The record is from RNAcentral.